This 2771-nucleotide ribosomal RNA is filed under the name Klebsiella pneumoniae subsp. ozaenae. RNAcentral's name for it is "bacterial LSU rRNA". It matches the Rfam family "Bacterial large subunit ribosomal RNA". Lineage: Bacteria; Pseudomonadati; Pseudomonadota; Gammaproteobacteria; Enterobacterales; Enterobacteriaceae. The record is from RNAcentral.
AGCGUACACGGUGGAUGCCCUGGCAGUCAGAGGCGAUGAAGGACGUGCUAAUCUGCGAAAAGCGUCGGUAAGGUGAUAUGAACCGUUAUAACCGGCGAUGUCCGAAUGGGGAAACCCAGUGCAAUUCGUUGCACUAUCGUUAACUGAAUACAUAGGUUAACGAGGCGAACCGGGGGAACUGAAACAUCUAAGUACCCCGAGGAAAAGAAAUCAACCGAGAUUCCCCCAGUAGCGGCGAGCGAACGGGGAGCAGCCCAGAGUCUGAAUCAGCUUGUGUGUUAGUGGAACGGUCUGGAAAGUCCGACGGUACAGGGUGAUAGUCCCGUACACCAAAAUGCACAGGCUGUGAACUCGAAGAGUAGGGCGGGACACGUGGUAUCCUGUCUGAAUAUGGGGGGACCAUCCUCCAAGGCUAAAUACUCCUGACUGACCGAUAGUGAACCAGUACCGUGAGGGAAAGGCGAAAAGAACCCCGGCGAGGGGAGUGAAAAAGAACCUGAAACCGUGUACGUACAAGCAGUGGGAGCACCUUCGGGUGUGACUGCGUACCUUUUGUAUAAUGGGUCAGCGACUUAUAUUCUGUAGCAAGGUUAACCGUAUAGGGGAGCCGCAGGGAAACCGAGUCUUAACUGGGCGUUAAGUUGCAGGGUAUAGACCCGAAACCCGGUGAUCUAGCCAUGGGCAGGUUGAAGGUUGGGUAACACUAACUGGAGGACCGAACCGACUAAUGUUGAAAAAUUAGCGGAUGACUUGUGGCUGGGGGUGAAAGGCCAAUCAAACCGGGAGAUAGCUGGUUCUCCCCGAAAGCUAUUUAGGUAGCGCCUCGUGAAUUCAUCUUCGGGGGUAGAGCACUGUUUCGGCUAGGGGGUCAUCCCGACUUACCAACCCGAUGCAAACUACGAAUACCGAAGAAUGUUAUCACGGGAGACACACGGCGGGUGCUAACGUCCGUCGUGAAGAGGGAAACAACCCAGACCGCCAGCUAAGGUCCCAAAGUCAUGGUUAAGUGGGAAACGAUGUGGGAAGGCACAGACAGCCAGGAUGUUGGCUUAGAAGCAGCCAUCAUUUAAAGAAAGCGUAAUAGCUCACUGGUCGAGUCGGCCUGCGCGGAAGAUGUAACGGGGCUAAACCAUGCACCGAAGCUGCGGCAGCGACACUAUGUGUUGUUGGGUAGGGGAGCGUUCUGUAAGCCUGCGAAGGUGACCUGUGAGGGUUGCUGGAGGUAUCAGAAGUGCGAAUGCUGACAUAAGUAACGAUAAAGCGGGUGAAAAGCCCGCUCGCCGGAAGACCAAGGGUUCCUGUCCAACGUUAAUCGGGGCAGGGUGAGUCGACCCCUAAGGCGAGGCCGAAAGGCGUAGUCGAUGGGAAACAGGUUAAUAUUCCUGUACUUGGUGUUACUGCGAAGGGGGGACGGAGAAGGCUAUGUUAGCCGGGCGACGGUUGUCCCGGUUUAAGCAUGUAGGCUGGUUGUCCAGGCAAAUCCGGAUAAUCAAGGCUGAGGUGUGAUGACGAGGCACUACGGUGCUGAAGUAACAAAUGCCCUGCUUCCAGGAAAAGCCUCUAAGCAUCAGGUAACAUCAAAUCGUACCCCAAACCGACACAGGUGGUCAGGUAGAGAAUACCAAGGCGCUUGAGAGAACUCGGGUGAAGGAACUAGGCAAAAUGGUGCCGUAACUUCGGGAGAAGGCACGCUGGUGUGUAGGUGAAGUCCCUGCGGAUGGAGCUGAGACCAGUCGAAGAUACCAGCUGGCUGCAACUGUUUAUUAAAAACACAGCACUGUGCAAACACGAAAGUGGACGUAUACGGUGUGACGCCUGCCCGGUGCCGGAAGGUUAAUUGAUGGGGUUAUCCGUAAGGAGAAGCUCUUGAUCGAAGCCCCGGUAAACGGCGGCCGUAACUAUAACGGUCCUAAGGUAGCGAAAUUCCUUGUCGGGUAAGUUCCGACCUGCACGAAUGGCGUAAUGAUGGCCAGGCUGUCUCCACCCGAGACUCAGUGAAAUUGAACUCGCUGUGAAGAUGCAGUGUACCCGCGGCAAGACGGAAAGACCCCGUGAACCUUUACUAUAGCUUGACACUGAACAUUGAGCCUUGAUGUGUAGGAUAGGUGGGAGGCUUUGAAGCGUGGACGCCAGUCUGCGUGGAGCCAACCUUGAAAUACCACCCUUUAAUGUUUGAUGUUCUAACGUUGGCCCCUUAUCGGGGUUGCGGACAGUGUCUGGUGGGUAGUUUGACUGGGGCGGUCUCCUCCCAAAGCGUAACGGAGGAGCACGAAGGUUAGCUAAUCCUGGUCGGACAUCAGGAGGUUAGUGCAAUGGCAUAAGCUAGCUUGACUGCGAGCGUGACGGCGCGAGCAGGUGCGAAAGCAGGUCAUAGUGAUCCGGUGGUUCUGAAUGGAAGGGCCAUCGCUCAACGGAUAAAAGGUACUCCGGGGAUAACAGGCUGAUACCGCCCAAGAGUUCAUAUCGACGGCGGUGUUUGGCACCUCGAUGUCGGCUCAUCACAUCCUGGGGCUGAAGUAGGUCCCAAGGGUAUGGCUGUUCGCCAUUUAAAGUGGUACGCGAGCUGGGUUUAGAACGUCGUGAGACAGUUCGGUCCCUAUCUGCCGUGGGCGCUGGAGAAUUGAGGGGGGCUGCUCCUAGUACGAGAGGACCGGAGUGGACGCAUCACUGGUGUUCGGGUUGUCAUGCCAAUGGCACUGCCCGGUAGCUAAAUGCGGAAGAGAUAAGUGCUGAAAGCAUCUAAGCACGAAACUUGCCCCGAGAUGAGUUCU